ACUGCCGUGACGGCCAUAGCAAAAGCACUCAUGUUGCAGCUCUGUCACAUUUUAAUGAAUCUGCAAAUUCUGCU
Molecule: ribozyme, 74 nt
Filed under: Crocodylus porosus (Australian saltwater crocodile)
Lineage: Eukaryota; Metazoa; Chordata; Crocodylia; Crocodylidae
Description: Mammalian CPEB3 ribozyme (ENSCPRG00005011669.1)
Rfam family: Mammalian CPEB3 ribozyme
About the family: The mammalian CPEB3 ribozyme is a self cleaving RNA located in the second intron of the CPEB3 gene which belongs to a family of genes regulating messenger RNA polyadenylation.
Source: Rfam by way of RNAcentral